GACGAACGCUGGCGGCGUGCUUAACACAUGCAAGUCGAACGAUGAAGAAGCGACACGCGCACUUCGGUUCCAAUUUCACUUCGGAUUAGUGGCAGACGGGUGAGUAACGCGUGAGCAACCUACCUCAUACAAAGGGAUAGCCUAGGGAAACCGUGAUUAAAACCAUAUGACACAUUCAUAAGGCAUCUUAAGAAUGUUGAAGCUACGGCGGUAAGUGAGGGGCUCGCGUCCCAUUAGCUAGUUGGUGAGGUAACGGCCCACCAAGGCGACGAUGGGUAACCGGCCUUGGAGGGUGGACGGUCACAUUGGAACUGGGACACGGUGCAAACUCCUAAGGGAGGCAGCAGGGGUGAAUAUUGCACAAUGGAUGGAGCUCUGAUGCAGCGACGCCGCGUGAGCGAUGAAGGAAUUCGUAUCGUAAAGCUCUGUUCUAUGGGAAGAAAAGGACUGAACCAAAGGAGAAAGCCCCGGCAACAUACGU
Molecule: ribosomal RNA, 481 nt
Filed under: uncultured bacterium
Lineage: Bacteria
Description: partial 16S ribosomal RNA
Rfam family: Bacterial small subunit ribosomal RNA
Source: RNAcentral